CUAAUACAUGCAAGUCGAGCGGACCGGACGAGAGCUUGCUCUUGUUCGGUUAGCGGCGGACGGGUGAGUAACACGUGGGCAACCUACCCGUAAGACCGGGAUAACUCCGGGAAACCGGAGCUAAUACCGGAUAACACCGAAGACCGCAUGGUCUUCGGUUGAAAGGCGGCUUCGGCUGUCACUUACGGAUGGGCCCGCGGCGCAUUAGCUAGUUGGUGAGGUAACGGCUCACCAAGGCGACGAUGCGUAGCCGGCCUGAGAGGGUGACCGGCCACACUGGGACUGAGACACGGCCCAGACUCCUACGGGAGGCAGCAGUAGGGAAUCUUCCGCAAUGGACGAAAGUCUGACGGAGCGACGCCGCGUGAGCGAAGAAGGUCUUCGGAUCGUAAAGCUCUGUUGUUAGGGAAGAAGAAGUAUCGUUCGAAUAGGGC
Molecule: ribosomal RNA, 434 nt
Filed under: uncultured bacterium
Lineage: Bacteria
Description: bacterial SSU rRNA
Rfam family: Bacterial small subunit ribosomal RNA
Source: RNAcentral